This 131-nucleotide ribosomal RNA is filed under the name Candidatus Neomicrothrix parvicella. Its description in RNAcentral is "partial 23S ribosomal RNA". It matches the Rfam family "Bacterial large subunit ribosomal RNA", at positions 2796 to 2925 of the family's 2925-position model. RNAcentral also lists the same sequence under 1 other name. The record is from RNAcentral. Lineage: Bacteria; Bacillati; Actinomycetota; Acidimicrobiia; Acidimicrobiales; Microthrixaceae.
CUUCCAAGAUGAAUUCACCCACAGGGUUAACCUGGUAAGGCCCGUGGUAGACCACCACGUUGAUAGGCCGGAAGUGUAAGCGUGGCAACACGUUCAGCUGACCGGUACUAAUCGGCCGAGGGCUUGAGUUC